Bos taurus (domestic cattle) is the source of this 562-nucleotide long non-coding RNA. The record is from Ensembl. NCBI's taxonomy places the organism in Eukaryota, Metazoa, Chordata, Mammalia, Artiodactyla, Bovidae.
GCAUUCCAGACGCACCCGGGGAGACAGGCAUCCAUCUCGAGUGGAAGCAAAGAACCCCGCUCUGCUCUCGAGUCGCGACGGGUAUCUCUUGGAGCUCACUGGGUGGACUAAAGGGAGUCAAGCCUCCUGAGGCGUUUGGAGAGAGGUCGCGAGAUUGGUCUCUAGGCCAUGCAGGAGACGAAGGCCCUCAUCUCGCGAUGACGGGGGAUCUUGGGGUUGUUCUCGAGCGGCGGCCCCAGUGUGCGCUUUCUCACGAGGUACGACGGCGAGGUCAGUGAGCCUCUCGUGGGGCGCCAGGGAAGUCGGGUCUCCAUGCGAGUGGCGAGGGCGAGCGCCUCAUUGCUCUCGAGCCAUGGUAGGGUGCCGGGGACCAGCCCCGGCUGAUCCAGGGUAUUCGAAGGAGAGACGGCGUAGGCGAAGAUCAGGAAACCACUGCUUAAUUAAAUGUUAAUUAAGGAUAUAAAGAGUAAUAGAAUGAGGAUAGCUCAGUGAGGAAAUUCAGUGGAGAAAAGAGGCUGAAUAAUUCAGCCAGAAGGUAAGAGAAAGAACGACAUGGUGAGAC